GACAGAGGGGGCAAGCGUUGCUCGGAAUCACUGGGCGUAAAGGGCGCGUAGGCGGGAUGGCAAGUCAGUCGUGAAAUCUCUCGGCUCAACCGAGAAACGUCGGCUGAUACUGCCGUUCUUGAGGGAUGCAGAGGAGACUGGAAUUCCCGGUGUAGCGGUGAAAUGUGUAGAGAUUGGGAAGAACACCAGUGGCGAAGGCGGCUAUCUGGACGGUUACUGACGCUAAGACUCGAAAGCGUGGGGAGCAAACAGG
Molecule: ribosomal RNA, 253 nt
Filed under: uncultured bacterium
Lineage: Bacteria
Description: partial 16S ribosomal RNA
Rfam family: Bacterial small subunit ribosomal RNA
Source: RNAcentral